GUAGCUGGUCUGAGAGGAUGACCAGCCACACUGGAACUGAGACACGGUCCAGACUCCUACGGGAGGCAGCAGUGGGGAAUAUUGGACAAUGGGGGCAACCCUGAUCCAGCAAUGCCGCGUGUGUGAAGAAGGCCUGAGGGUUGUAAAGCACUUUCAGUGGGGAGGAGGGUUGAUAGGUUAAGAGCUAAUUAACUGGACGUUACCCACAGAAGAAGCACCGGCUAACUCCGUGCCAGCAGCCGCGGUAAUACGGAGGGUGCAAGCGUUAAUCGGAAUUACUGGGCGUAAAGGGUGCGUAGGUGGUUGAUUAAGUUAUCUGUGAAAUUCCUGGGCUUAACCUGGGACGGUCAGAUAAUACUGGUUGACUCGAGUAUGG
This 376-nucleotide ribosomal RNA is filed under the name uncultured Legionella sp. RNAcentral's name for it is "bacterial SSU rRNA". It matches the Rfam family "Bacterial small subunit ribosomal RNA", at positions 283 to 651 of the family's 1533-position model. Lineage: Bacteria; Pseudomonadati; Pseudomonadota; Gammaproteobacteria; Legionellales; Legionellaceae. The record is from RNAcentral.